UGAGUAACACGUAUCCAACCUGCCGUCUACUCUUGGACAGCCUUCUGAAAGGAAGAUUAAUACAAGAUGGCAUCAUGAGUUCACAUGUUCACAUGAUUAAAGGAUUCCGGUAAAGGAUGGGGAUGCGUUCCAUUAGGUUGUUGUGAGGUAACGGCUCACCAAGCCUUCGAUGGAUAGGGGUUCUGAGAGGAAGGUCCCCCACAUUGGAACUGAGACACGGUCCAA
Molecule: ribosomal RNA, 225 nt
Filed under: uncultured bacterium
Lineage: Bacteria
Description: partial 16S ribosomal RNA
Rfam family: Bacterial small subunit ribosomal RNA
Source: RNAcentral